RNAcentral lists this ribosomal RNA (198 nucleotides) under uncultured bacterium. Its description in RNAcentral is "partial 16S ribosomal RNA". It matches the Rfam family "Bacterial small subunit ribosomal RNA", at positions 156 to 353 of the family's 1533-position model. The record is from RNAcentral.
AGAAAGAUUAAUACCCGAUAGUAUAAUGAUUCCGCAUGGUUUCAUUAUUAAAGGAUUCCGGUAAAGGAUGGGGAUGCGUUCCAUUAGGUUGUUGGUGAGGUAACGGCUCACCAAGCCUUCGAUGGAUAGGGGUUCUGAGAGGAGGGUCCCCCACAUUGGAACUGAGACACGGUCCAAACUCCUACGGGAGGCAGCAUG